This 327-nucleotide ribosomal RNA is filed under the name uncultured eukaryote. RNAcentral's name for it is "partial 18S ribosomal RNA". It matches the Rfam family "Eukaryotic small subunit ribosomal RNA", at positions 1470 to 1796 of the family's 1831-position model. The record is from RNAcentral.
CCCUUAGAUGUUCUGGGCUGCACACGUGCUACACUGGCAGGUUCAGCGAGCUUCAUGCCCUGAUCUGAAAGGAAUGGGAAAUCUUUUCAAAACCUGCCGUGCUUGGGAUAGAUGUUUGCAAUUAUUCAUCUUCAACGAGGAUUGCCUUGUGAGCGCACGUCAUCAGCGUGCAUUGAAUACGUCCCUGCCCUUUGUACACACCGCCCGUCGCUCCUACCGAUUGAGUGCUCAGGUGAAUAAUUCGGACUGCAGCAAUGUUUGGAUCCCGAACGUUGCAGCGGAAAGUUUAGUGAACCUUAUCACUUAGAGGAAGGAGAAGUCGUAACA